This is a long non-coding RNA of Aegilops tauschii subsp. strangulata, 3334 nucleotides long. RefSeq lists it as uncharacterized. The record is from RefSeq and is a predicted model, not a curated record. NCBI's taxonomy places the organism in Eukaryota, Viridiplantae, Streptophyta, Magnoliopsida, Poales, Poaceae.
CUUUUAACAUCAGCAGCAACACCUGGAAUGUCAUCUUCAGGCGCUGAUGGUUCUAUUUUAAGAAGGAAUAGAGAAUGGUUAGACUUCUAAAUUUUAUAAAUGUACAAAAAAAUAUUUGCGUAAUAACAUAUUGUCAUCAGAUAAUUAGAUUUCGCUCUAUGAGGUUCUUUGUCCUUGUCAUAUGCCUUAUGACAAAGUUGUCAGAAGUUCUAUGAUUCAUAACCAAACCAUAUCUCCUUUUGGUUAUUUGAUUUGCAUCAAGAUUUAUCCAUGUAUGCUCCUUUUAUUGCGUAUACAUUUUUUGGGUUCCCGUGGCAACACGCGGCACAUACAGUGCAUUGUAAUUACAUCGAUAUGGGCCAUGUAGUUGGGCGCUGGAGAAGUGUACAUGGGAUUACGGUGACAGCAUGGUCCAGGCCCAUCCCCUCAAAAAAAAAAAAAAAAUCAUGGUCCAGGCCCUCCGCGGUCUCGACGGCGGCGGCGGCGGCGCCUCCAUGGCUGGCCGGUGGUGGGUGCGGCGAGGCGUUCGUGUGGGCUAUUCGAUUGUUUCACUCUCUUCUUCUCCUGUCAUCCCUGGGACAGCGGUAGUCGUGGCUCCGCCCGUGGUUAGCAACAACGGCAGCAGCGCCGCCGCCGGCCACCACCGAGAUAACCAACGCUGCUCCACGCACAGCACAACCCGGCCUCCCCUCCGGCUGGAUGGACUUACCUUCAAAUUGGUAUCAGAUCGAGAUUUAUUGUCAUGUCUGAUGUGUUGACAUCCCAACGUUUAUGCAUGCUUACAAAUUCAGACGAUAAUUAGCCAGCAUGAUCAAUGAUGCUUUGAUGCAUACCUUGCGCAGAGCUUUGUAUUUGGUUUGAAGCUUUGGUUCAGCAUGGUCCUCAUGACCUGUAGAUAGCCAUGGACCCUCUUGUGAUUGUGAGAUAUACCAUAUGCUGACGCGUUCAAUCGAAUAUGAUGUGUGAGCCUCGAACAUUACGAGUUUAUGACUACUCGUCGAGGUGUCCACUGAAGAUGACUAGCGGCACCUACGCAAUCGAAAAUUAGUGCAGAACAAAAAUCGCAGCAAUGACGGGAUAAGAGCUCAGGCACAUAUGCUCCCGCUUGAAGAAUAAAAUUGUGAAGAAACAGUGCAAGACCUGAAUUGACUAUAUCCCUCAAUUGCGUAGUAUUGGUACACUAUGGUGAUAUGAUCUUCAUGGCUUCUGUGGCACUCAGCGUUUUUCAGAUGUGACAAAGGCCUUAGGGGACACCUGCAGAUUCUGGAAACUCCCAAGUAACAUGCUUACCACCUUUGUCAUUGAUGGCUGGUUUCUUGGGUUCCACUGAAUAUUCUGCAGUAUUCCUGGUUAGUUGUGUAAAAAACUUCAAAUCCUUCUCAUUUUUCUUAGCAUGGCAGAAUAAACACUUCUUCACGUACAAUAAGGACCGCAAUGAUGUGGGCAACUUCAUAUCAAGUGGUGAUAUGGAUGGACUUCAGUCUUUUUGUAAUAAUCAGGCCCUGAUUUUCGAGCUCAGACAUGAUCAUCACCAGCACCCCUCUCCUCUCGUUGCAGCAGAUAUUCAGGAGUGCCGUGUUCCCUUUGAUGCUGGCCUCAAUGUCCGGGCUUGAGUACCCGGACCCGGAGCCGCUCCCGCUGGGGCCUGCUGCAUCGUUGUUGGGAGCGGAUAUGCAGCAUUUGCUGUCGAACACCAUGGACUCUGACGGCCUCCGUGAGCCUUGCUCCAGGGCCUUCACCUUCUCCUCGAGCUGCUUCACGUAGUCGAUGGUACCUGGUGAUCACACAAAUACAGCCAAGUUGUCUUGUCACGCACCUUCUUGAGGCCGGGGACGAUGGUGGCCAAGGACACGAACUGCUGCUGCAGCUUCUCCCGCCGCUUGCGCUCGGCGAUGACGUGCUCUUGCGGCGCCCUGCCCCGCCUCUCGGGCGCCUGCAGCUGCUGCAUCGUCCCUUGGACUCCGUCGCGCUGCCAGCCGGAGAAGUUCAGGGUGCUAGCCUGGCCAGGGCCGAAGGAGAGGAAGUUGGAUGAUGGCGGCGGAGACGGUUGCCCCAGCUCGUUCUUCACCGUUGCCGAUCCGAAUGGCAAGUUCGGCAAUGACGAUGAGCCCCCAAAGCUCGGGAAAUUGGAGCUGCGAGAUGGACUGAACAUCGGGAUUGCCAUCGGUGGCGUGUAGCACUGCGCUUCACGGCCAGGUAGCGGUGGCUCUGCAAACUGCUGCUCCCUACCGGGUACGGGUACUGGACCCCCUUCUUGCUGAUACAUGUUUGGUUUCGCAGACACACAGUGCGAGUUUCGGAUUUUCUUUCUCAACGCCUUUUCUCUCCAGUGCUUGGCCUGAGUGCCUGACAUCGCAGCUCCGAUCUCUGAAGAUCUCCUGCAUGCAAUCUUUAAUACAUUCGAGAGAUCCGUGAUCUGAAUGUGGUUUACAAAGAACAAAAUUUUCCCUAAAGAAACUCGAUCUGUCGCGUACCUCCUCAACUCAACCUGUCUGAAGGUUCAGUAGGUCCGAUGAAAGUGGCACUGGGAUAUAUAGAAAACUAGUGUGCACGCACGCAUCGUUGCCGGACGAGGUCUGCUUCACGCGCAAGUGCGACAGUUGCGAGUUGUUGGAGUGUCGAAUGCGACACUUCGUGAAGGAUGAGUACACUCUAGUGUACAUUUUCCGGAUAAGUUUGGUGCUGAAGGGUAAGCACAGUAGUUAUGAACUCCACUAGUGUGCAUAUACCAAUACCAUACUACCAUUCUGUCAAUUGUUUAGGAGACCCAUGCGAUUAUGGCGCUGCAUUCUUUAUGCCGAGCCUGCAAGCUUUAGGUUAAUUACACAAGCAAAUCCCAGGAAAGCGGCUUCAAAUCAAAGUGCAAAUACAACACAGCUGGCUGGAAAGUACUACAAACCUGAAGAGGGCACAAGAAGGGGACAGAUGUCUUAUACAUUUGUUUUGCUUCAAUCCCAUCAACGAGGUUAGGGCUUUAAGCUACUAGAUUAGAUACUCAUCAUGUUGUCGCAUUGUUCUAGGUGCAUGUGCAACUUGGAAUAUUUCAUGACAUCUUUCGGCUGCCACGAGCAACUUUGCUGCGUAUAAGAUUGGUAUGCAAAAUUUUGCCUAGAUUUAGUUGCUUCCUGUAGUUCUGAAUUUACUGCUAGUUAGUUAUUAGGCCAUGUCGUUUUGAGAGAGAUACUCAACAAUUUUUUUUCGAAAAGGGGGUUUGCCCCGACCUCUGCAUCAGAACGAUGCAUACGGCCAUAUUAUUGAUAAUCAAAAUGGUUCAACAAAAGUCUUCAUGUCUCAAAAAAGAAAUAAGAAAAGGCUCACAAAGAGCACAAACAGA